Molecule: ribosomal RNA, 249 nt
Filed under: Bacillus sp. (in: firmicutes)
Lineage: Bacteria; Bacillati; Bacillota; Bacilli; Caryophanales; Bacillaceae
Description: Bacillus sp. (in: Bacteria) partial 16S ribosomal RNA
Source: RNAcentral
GGGGCAUGAUGAUUUGACGUCAUCCCCACCUUCCUCCGGUUUGUCACCGGCAGUCACCUUAGAGUGCCCAAUUGGUACAAAGGGGGGCAAGUUGGCGAAAGGUAGGUAUGCUCUCAAUCCUUUUUCUGUUUAGGAUGUAGGCUCACUUGCCUACAAUAGUGGAUGGGUUGACAAGUUGCGGAGAAUUGUUCCCCGGUCCGUACACACCGCCCGUCACACCCCGAGAGUUUGUAACACCCGAAGUAGGUA